UAUCUUCUGAUUUACUACCAUAAACAAUACACUGCCUAAGUCCCCGGCCGGCCGGCGCGAAUUCACUUCAAGUGAAUGCCACUGCCUACGAGUGACCUCAGGUCAGAGUCUUUAAGCACUCUGUAUUUCGAUGUGGUGAUGAGAGUUACCAAUACAGUUACCCCUGUCGUACUUCCCCUAAAGGGUGAGAUUACUUCUCAUGCACAUUUACCUCACCUUGAACGCUUGGUUCUUUUCAUAAGUUCAGGAGAUCUUAGUCAACAACGAUUUGUAUUGGUUGUACAUUGAUUAUUGUAUCUGUUGAUAUGUCUGCAGUCGACUUUCUCUUUUGCUUCUCUUGUAUUGCAACUCCAAUCCCAAUUUUAUAGUAGAGAUGACACUGAAUCAGUAGACAUUUGGGCCGCCAGAAAAUAACAUCUGAAUUUCUGCUACAUAAUUAACACAGGUUAAUGAAUAGAUGCAUCUGGCAAGUAGUGAUGGCUACAACAUAUGGUAACCAUGCGAGCAUAUUGUCGAAGUGUUUUGUUUUAGUUUUUAAAACAAUAUUAGAGUUAAAUAGAACAAGUACCAAAGUAAAUUGUUAUGUAGCAUGCAUCAAUUUCUUAAAUUCAAUGGAAAUAUGUUGUUUUAGAUGGGGUGAUAGAAUAGUACAUGCUCUGAAUUAUUGUCCUUGCAUAACUAUUUGUUGUAGUUAUAGUAAUUUUACUACUCCCUCCGUCCAUAAGUAGAUGUCUUAGAUUUGACAUCUAUUUAUGGACAUACUAAUACUAUGCAACUCAUGAAAUAUCUAGAUUUUUUUAGUAACCUGGAAGAGGCAUCGCGGAAGAAGAACAUAUAAAUGGCUAAUAACAUUGUUGGGAUUUUGGCCUGGCUGGUUCAUUUCUUUGGAAAAUUCUCGGAUAUGUGGUUCUUAUAUAUUGGUUUGGGAAAUCUACACCUCACAUUUUGCAAUGGCUAAUGUCGGAUCAGCGGCAGGCCGGAGGCGGUUGCAGCAAGGGUCGGCAUGGAGCUGAACAACAAGGUCAUGCUGCACAACUGUAGCCACACGAUGUGCAUCAAAGUGCUAUCGUCAAUGAUUUCUAAAAGAAGUCUGCAAGGAGGAGAAAUCACAGCUAGCAUCAAGAAGAUCCUAAAUUGCUAAUUAUUUGAUUUCAUAUUCAAGCUAUUUGUUCGCCAAAAAUAAUUUAAGUUGCUCCAAAAACUGCAGCUGAGAUGAAGAUCAGCAGGAUGGCUGCUACGGUCCCAGCUUGGUAUUAGUUAUUUCUAAAAAAGUAUAAGUUUUUCCUAGAUUCAAGUCCAUCAUGUCAUAUUUUACAGGUGUCAGCCAAACAUAAAUCGAUUUAAAUAUGUUAUUUUAACCAUUUUUAGUGGCGCCUCACAAAUGGAUAGGACGCACCACCUGAGAGGAAGCAUUUGAACCAAAGCUCCUCAUGACAGAGAUGCAUGGUCAGCAAAAAAUCACGAGCAACAUUCUCUUUCGGUGAUAUGCAUUUCUUAAGUGUAAUAGGAGUUGUGAGUUGAGCUACCAUAAGAUCCAGGUAAACAACAUCUUCAUCGAGUUACCUACUUUCAGUACGCCAAUUGUUUUUGGUUGAACAUUUGUAAAAUAUAACUUCUCUGGCAAUUUGUCCUUGAAUACAAAAAAAAUACUUAUGCA
Long non-coding RNA from Lolium perenne, 1657 nucleotides. RefSeq lists it as uncharacterized. Lineage: Eukaryota; Viridiplantae; Streptophyta; Magnoliopsida; Poales; Poaceae. The record is from RefSeq and is a predicted model, not a curated record.